Long non-coding RNA from Gossypium raimondii (Peruvian cotton), 1399 nucleotides. RefSeq lists it as uncharacterized. NCBI's taxonomy places the organism in Eukaryota, Viridiplantae, Streptophyta, Magnoliopsida, Malvales, Malvaceae. The transcript is spliced from 3 exons. The record is from RefSeq and is a predicted model, not a curated record.
UGUAAAAAACCAUAAAUAUAAAUAGACAUGAAAAUAAAUAAAGACGAAAUAAGAAAAAAUAAAAAUUAUACAAGUGCGAAUAAAUAUAAAACAUAAAGAUAAAGUGCAUAAUUAACAUUAAAUAUAUAAGGUAUAAAUGCAAAUGAAAGGAAAGAUAUAAGUGUAAAUAAUUUAUUAAAAAUGGAAGCAAAAUGACAGCUUAAUUUUGGGACUAAAAGAUAAAAAAUGUGGAAGACAGAGGACUGAUGUAGUAAUUAAUUUGUUUUUAAUUUUAAAAUUUCAGAUUAAGCCAAAGGUUUGAAUAAACAAAAGGGCUGCGGGUGUAAAUAGGCUAGAGAGUGAGGGCGGUGUUGCAAAAAAUGGGGUAUUUUUUGUAAAUUUAAAAAGUAAGGGGAUGGGAAUAUAUUACCCAUUUUUGGCACCUAUAAAAGGGAAAAACUAUUCAUUCUUUUUCCUUUUUAAUCUCAUUUAAAAAAACAAAAUCUUCCUCCUUAUUUUCCUCUUAUGUUGGCCAUGGCUCCUGUAACGCCCCAAAAUUUUAAUUUUGGGUAUUGUGAAUGUGUGACACAAAAUAUCUAUCUACUUUAGUGGUUAUGUGUUUUGGGUGUAUUUGGGAGGUCCCAAGUUCAAGUCAGGACUCGGUCAAAUUUUGGUAUCUUUAGUUAGUAGGACUUGCUGGUUUGGUGGAUAAGUGAAAUGUUGGUGUGAAGAAGUUCCUGUGUUCGAAUCUUGGCGUGGGCAUUAUUUUUGCUCAUGCGUCCAGGAGAGUUUGAGAUGGACUAAAAAUCUGAGUAGUGGAUUUAGUGAAGAGUUUGAUGGAGAGAAAUAAUGGAUUGGGGUGGUUAUCAAAUAUUUUGUUCAUCUUUUUUUUACUUUUCCCAAAAUCCCUCCACCCUCUUGCCGUUUUUCUCUUUAUUGCUGCUGAAUUUCAGCUCUCUUUCACCCUUCAUCUUCUUGAUUUUUCUUUUCCCACUCUGCCUCGUGUCGCUCCAUGUUUGUCUGGGAUUGUUCGGUAAGUUUUAGAUAGGUGAUUUGUCUUCGUUUGUUCAUUUUCUUCUAAAGUGUUUUGUUUAUGCCAAUUAGGGGAGGAUUCAAGGGCUUGUAAUCACCAAUCGGAGUCUUAGUUUGUGUGGGAAUUAUUGUUCAUCGGUUGAAGGCUCUAGAGUGCUCGGGGACUGUUUUAGCAUCAAUAAAAACCAGGUAAUCUCCAGAUUUAGACGAAUCGGUGCGGCGGAAGACUCGGUAGUGAUCGCGAUUUUGGACUUUCAUGGUUUUUAACCCAUAUUUACGAUAAUUGGUUUUAUUUCUAUUAUAUUUUUACUGGCUAAGUUUUUGGGUUGUAAUUGGACUUUUGGAACUUGGUUUUGGGUUUUAAUUAUCUUAAUCUUAUGGAUUACAA